RNAcentral lists this ribosomal RNA (1321 nucleotides) under Tipula nova. RNAcentral describes it as "16S ribosomal RNA". The stretch from base 621 to 1321 matches the Rfam family "Archaeal large subunit ribosomal RNA", at positions 1423 to 2882 of the family's 2987-position model. Lineage: Eukaryota; Metazoa; Arthropoda; Insecta; Diptera; Tipulidae. The record is from RNAcentral.
UAAAUAAAUCUUAUUAAGAUUGUUAUUAAAUUAUUAAAUUAAUAAAAAUAAUUUUAUUAUAAAAGUUUUUGUAGUUUUUAAUGAUAAAAUAAUUUUAAUUAUAGUAUAUUAGUAUUGUGAAAGAAAGAUGAAAUAAAUUGAAAAUAAAUUAAUUUAAAAGAAAAUUUUAUUUAUUGUACCUUGUGUAUCAGGGUUUAUUAAUUAAAAAAUACAUAAAGUAUUUUUCUCGAAUUUAAGAGAGCUAAUUAAUUAUUUUAGUUAUUGUGGCAUAAAUAUUAAUAAUAAUUAAUUAGAAAUGAAACGUUAUUCGUUCUUAAAUAUAUCUAGUUUUUUAAGAAAUAAAUUUAAUUUAUAUAUUUUUAAUUGUAAUAAUUUAAUUUAUUAAGUUAUUAUUUAAUAAUAUAAAUAUCUUAAGGGAUAAGCUUUAAGAUAAAUUUUUAUAAAAUCUAAUAAUUAAAAAUAAUUGUAGGUUUAGAAAUAGCCAUUAAUUGUAAAUAUGUUAUAAUAUAUUUUUGUAAAAUAUUAUUUAUUGAAUUUUUAAAUUUUUAUUAAAAUAUUAAUUUUAAUUAUAAAAAUUAAGGAAUAAUGAUAAAAUUAGUAUAUAUUAAUUUAUAAAUAAAUAAAAAUGAUAGGUUUAUUAAAGGAACUCGGCAAAUUAAAUAUUCGCCUGUUUAUCAAAAACAUGUCUUUUUGGUUUUAUUUAAAGUCUAACCUGCCCACUGAAAUUAUUUAAAGGGCCGCGGUAUUUUGACCGUGCAAAGGUAGCAUAAUCAUUAGUUUUUUAAUUGAAAGCUUGUAUGAAUGGUUGGACGAAAUAUUGACUGUCUUUAUUAAAUUUUUUAUAGAAUUUAACUUUUUUGUUAAAAGGCAAAAAUAAAUUUAAAGGACGAGAAGACCCCAUAGAGCUUUAUAUUUUUAUAAUAUAAUUUAUAAAGAAUAAUUUAAAUUUUAUUAAAAAAAUUAUUUUGUUGGGGUGACAAUAAAAUUUAUUAAACUUUUAUUAUUUUAUUACAUUGAUUUAUGAAUAAUUGAUCCAAUUUUAUUGAUUAAAAAAUUAAGUUACCUUGGGGAUAACAGCGUAAUUUUUUUAAAGAGUUCAUAUCGACAAAAAAGAUUGCGACCUCGAUGUUGGAUUAAGAGUAAUUUUAGGUGUAGAAGUUUAAAGUAUUGGGUCUGUUCGACCCUUAAAUUCUUACAUGAUCUGAGUUCAAACCGGCGUAAGCCAGGUUGGUUUCUAUCCUUAAUUAAUUAAAAUAUUUUAGUACGAAAGGACCAAAUAUUUGAUAUAUAAAUAUUUUUAAAAUAUGAAUAUAAUUAAUUU